This 397-nucleotide ribosomal RNA is filed under the name uncultured bacterium. Its description in RNAcentral is "partial 16S ribosomal RNA". It matches the Rfam family "Bacterial small subunit ribosomal RNA", at positions 523 to 918 of the family's 1533-position model. The record is from RNAcentral.
AUACGUAGGGGGCGAGCGUUGUCCGGAAUGAUUGGGCGUAAAGGGCGCGUAGGCGGCCCGGUAAGUCUGGAGUGAAAGUCCUGUUUUUAAGAUGGGAAUUGCUUUGGAUACUGUCGGGCUUGAGUGCAGGAGAGGUAAGUGGAAUUCCCAGUGUAGCGGUGAAAUGCGUAAAGAUUGGGAGGAACACCAGUGGCGAAGGCGACUUACUGGACUGUAACUGACGCUGAGGCGCGAAAGUGUGGGGAGCAAACAGGAUUAGAUACCCUGGUAGUCCACACUGUAAACGAUGAAUGCUAGGUGUAGGGGGUAUCGACCCCUUCUGUGCCGCAGUCAACACAAUAAGCAUUCCGCCUGGGGAGUACGGCCGCAAGGUUGAAACUCAAAUGAAUUGACGGGG